GCAGUCCUCAAUCGUCCUAGCAACACAAGCCUGCUGAGAUAUGAUUAGAUAAAGACUUUACAAUAAUAUACAACACUGGAAGCGGCGAAAUCAAGCGGAAAUAAUGAGACGAAGAAAAUACACCAUGGGGAAUUAUUUUAUUUACAAAAAACAACUUUUCACAGUAUGUUGGGGCUAGCAGAAAAGUUAGCUGCCCCUGGCAACCGUAGUGUCAGUAGUGAAGGACUUCCUCGCUGUCUCCAACGUCUGCGUCUCUCCUGCGUUUUCACGCACGUCCGUGCAUGUGCAUAAAUGCCAUGGAAACCGCUGACGCGAAAUGGGUCGUCAUUUGCCCCAGGGCCUUGUGAAGCUCUGGAGUCGCUUCAAGCGUUGGAGAAACCGGAGGAUCCAGCCGGAGCAGCCGGUGGGCGAAGGUGGUCCAGAUGGGCCUAACGGCGUCCACGUCCAUCCUUCACCCACUCCUCAGGUGGGUGACUCAUACACACCCCAUCCACCUUCUCCUCCACGCUCUCUUGUUUUUUGGUCUGCUGGUCCUUCUGUUUCCCCUUCACCCCCUCCUGUUCCUUGUUGCUUUGAUGUUCUUGCUUUUUCUCCUUCACCCUGUCCUACUCCUUCUUUUUCUUCUUCUUCUUUCUCACUCUCUUCUGCUUCCUCUGGUACUUGGUGCUCUGACAUCUUUCCCUUUUCUCCUUACCCUUCUCCUACUCCUUCUUCUUCUUCUUCCUCACUCUCUUCUGCUCACUCUGCUUCUCUGUGCUCUCCUCCUCACUCUCUCAUCUCUCCUUUUUCUUCUCCCUCGCCCUCCUCUGCUUACUCUGGUACUUGUUGCUCUGCUGUCCUUCCCUUUUCUCCUUCACCCUCUGCUGUUCCUAGUUGUUCUGCUGUCUUUCCUUUUUGUCCUUCACCCUCUCCUACUCCUUCUUCUUCUUCCUCACCCUCUUCUGCUUACUCUUGUCUUUGUUGCUCUGAUGCCCUUCCUUUGUCCCCUUUACCCUCUCCUGUGACGGAGAGAGUGAAGGAGCUCAUCCAGCAGCUCAUCUUCCAGGAGAGGUAAGGAAGACAGUGAUGAGGAGGGGGCUGCUCUUGGAAGACUCAACUGUGGGACACUGUUUCCUACAGUGAAACCAGUCUUGGAUUUGACCCCAGGGCACCUUUUUUGUAGUUUUAUCUCUAUACCAUAAGUUUAAAUGUUCAUUCCAACUUUGAGAACUAGCCUUUGCGUCUGGCUGGGCAGUUUUCAGGUCCCCGGCAGCGUCUGGCGCUGGGACCUUUCUUUCUUUCCUGGAUGAACACAAGUUUAAAUGUUAAUUUUUACCCUGAGAACUAGCCUUUGCGUCUGGCUGGGCGGUUCUCAGGUCCCAGGUAGCGUCUGGCACCUGGGCCAGUUUUUGCUGUUUUUUAUAUUUUAGCAUGGCGGUUGGAUGGACUUUUCUUUCACCCUGAAGGCUGAGUUCAGCGCCUGGCAGGGCCGUCGAUCCCCCCAUGCAAGUUGCCCUAGCGUCUGGCGGGGUAGCUAUUAUGUUUCCUCCACAGCGAUAGAAGGUCAGCUCAGUCACAGUGGCACUGGGGACACAUGUCGUCUCCCACUGAAGCUCCUCGGUGGCAGAUGACUGCAGUGUCAGGUGUUAUGGAGGAGACACAUGGCGAGACGAGGGAACCAGGAGAUGAGCAACGAGACAACCAAUCUGGACCAAGAGCCGGCAUUCCAAGCAGCCCGGACCUAAGCUGUCAAACCGAUCGCAGGAACCACAGCUGCACAAUUACGUUCAGUGCAGCUGUGGAGGCUGGAGAACUGUGACAACAGAGACCAUAGGACCACCUGGAGAGAAGUUGUCACCUGUGUCUAUGGAGGCUCAAUGCAAUAACAUCCUGCAGCUCUUCGCUCUCUCCAGCCUCUGGUCCAGACAGAGGGGAGCCUCCCA
Molecule: long non-coding RNA, 1922 nt
Organism: Betta splendens (Siamese fighting fish)
Lineage: Eukaryota; Metazoa; Chordata; Actinopteri; Anabantiformes; Osphronemidae
Exons: 6
Source: RefSeq, a predicted model, not a curated record